This 2010-nucleotide ribosomal RNA is filed under the name Triticum aestivum (bread wheat). Its description in RNAcentral is "partial small subunit ribosomal RNA". The record is from RNAcentral. Lineage: Eukaryota; Viridiplantae; Streptophyta; Magnoliopsida; Poales; Poaceae.
AUGGAGGAGUCUGGAUCUCACCGCCACAUCGUCCUCGUAACCCUGGCCCUCGUUGUCGUGCUGCUCGCGCCGUGCGCCGCCGCGUACCCGUUGCUAGCGUGCGGCUCGACGGGCGAGUUCACGGCCAACAGCACGUACCAGGCCAACCUCGGCAUCCUCGCAGCCGCGCUGCCGAAGAACGCGUCCUCCUCCCCGGACCUCUUCGCGACCGGCGCAGUCGGCGCCGUCCCGGACCAGGUCUCGGCGCUCGCGCUCUGCCGCGGCGACGCCAACGCCACGGCCUGCUCCGGCUGCCUCGCCGCGGCCUUCCACGACGCGCAGAACAUGUGCGCCUACGCCAAGGACGCCGCCAUCUACUACGAUCCAUGCGUCCUCUACUACUCCAACACCCCCUUCCUCUCCUCCGUCGACAACGUCAGGUCCAGGACGCAAAUGAACGGCCAGAACGUCACGUCGGACCCCGGCCGGUUCAACCGCCAGGUGGCCGCGCUCGUGGACGCCACUGCCGACUACGCGGCGUACAACUCCACACGGCGGUACGCGUCCGGUGAGGCCGACCUCGACGUCGACAGCGAGUUCCCCAGGGUCUACAGCUGGGCGCAGUGCACGCCGGACCUCACGCCUGCGCAGUGCCGCGGUUGUCUCGCCGGCAUCAUCAAGGGAAUGCCGCGGUCCGCGGACCGCGUCGGGGCCAAGUUUCUUGGGGUCAGGUGCAGCUACAGAUACGAGAUAUACACCAUCCUCGGCGGGCCGGUGAUGGUGCGGCUGGCUGCGCCAGCGCCUGAGCCCGCCGUAGGGCCAACGGUUCCGACUCCAGCAACCCUCGCCCGACGAGGAAAAUGGGGAAAUAAGACGGUAGUUGUUCUAGCAAUUACGCUGCCUCUAGUUGUUGCAAUUCUAGCUAUCACUGCUGUUUGUCUCUGUUAUUCGAGGAAGGGGAGGACAAGACGAGCAAGCAGUGAGCAACCACCUUAUUCGGCUAAUAGUGAGGACAUUGUAAACAUUGAUUCACUUAUCGCCGAUCUACCAACAUUACGUCGUGCGACGGAUAACUUUGCCGCUGCGAAUAAGCUUGGAGAAGGAGGAUUCGGUGCAGUUUAUAAGGGAAACCUUCCUGAUGGCCGGGAGAUAGCGGUGAAGAGGCUCUCCAGAAGUUCAGCACAAGGAAUAGGAGAGCUCAAGAAUGAACUUAUUUUGGUCGCCAAGCUUCAACAUAAGAAUCUUGUCAGGCUUGUUGGCGUAUGCGUGCAAGAACACGAGAAACUGCUUGCCUACGAAUACAUGCCCAAUAAAAGUGUUGACACCAUUCUUUUCGAUCCAGAGAGAAGCAAGGAGCUAGACUGGGGAAAGAGAUUGAAGGUAAUAAGUGGGAUUGCUCGAGGAUUACAAUAUCUUCAUGAGGAUUCGCAGCUGAGAAUAAUCCACAGGGACCUCAAAGCGAGCAAUGUUCUGUUAGACUCCGAUUACACUCCUAAGAUUUCAGACUUCGGCUUGGCAAGGCUAUUUGGAGUAGAUCAAACAAGGGAGGUGACAAACCGAGUUGUUGGGACAUAUGGAUACAUGGCCCCAGAAUAUGCGGUGCGUGGCCAGCUUUCUGUAAAAUCGGACGUGUUUAGCUUUGGCGUUUUGAUGUUAGAAGUGGUGACAGGAAGACGAAGCAGUUGCUCCUGGAACUUCGACGAGUCUGUCAAUCUCUCAAGUCUGGUAUGGGAACACUGGACCAUGGGUACAACUGCAGAGAUCAUAGACUCAUCUCUGAGAGGCCAUGCCCCAGGAAACCAGGUAGUGAAGCUUUUUCACAUCGGCCUGCUCUGUGUCCAAGAUAACCCAGCAGAUAGGCCUACGAUGUCCACUGUAAAUUUCAUGCUUAGCAGUAACACUGUGUCUCUACGGUCUCCAUCGAAGCCAUCAUUUCUCAUGUGCAUGAGCCCUACUUCUUCUGAGUCGACCCGUAUGCCAGGUAUGGCAUCACCAAAUGAAGCUUCAAUCACGGGGCUUGAACCAAGAUGA